This 422-nucleotide ribosomal RNA is filed under the name uncultured Alistipes sp. Its description in RNAcentral is "partial 16S ribosomal RNA". It matches the Rfam family "Bacterial small subunit ribosomal RNA", at positions 355 to 774 of the family's 1533-position model. The record is from RNAcentral. Lineage: Bacteria; Pseudomonadati; Bacteroidota; Bacteroidia; Bacteroidales; Rikenellaceae.
UGAGGAAUAUUGGUCAAUGGACGCAAGUCUGAACCAGCCAUGCCGCGUGCAGGAAGACGGCUCUAUGAGUUGUAAACUGCUUUUUUACAGGGGUAAACUCAGGUACGUGUACCUGACUGAAAGUACUGUAAGAAUAAGGAUCGGCUAACUCCGUGCCAGCAGCCGCGGUAAUACGGAGGAUCCGAGCGUUAUCCGGAUUUAUUGGGUUUAAAGGGUGCGUAGGCGGUUUGAUAAGUUAGAGGUGAAACACCGUAGCUCAACUACGGUCCUGCCUCUAAUACUGUUAAGCUAGAGAGUAGAUGCUGUGGGCGGAAUGUGUGGUGUAGCGGUGAAAUGCUUAGAGAUCACACAGAACACCGAUUGCGAAGGCAGCUCACAAAUCUAUAUCUGACGCUGAGGCACGAAAGCGUGGGGAUCAAACA